GCUUAACACAUGCAAGUCGAGGGGCAGCAUGGUCUUAGCUUGCUAAGGCCGAUGGCGACCGGCGCACGGGUGAGUAACGCGUAUCCAACCUGCCUUACACUCUUGGACAGCCUUCUGAAAGGGAGAUUAAUACAAGAUGUUAUCAUGAGUAAGCAUUUUCGCAUGAUUAAAGGUUUACCGGUGUAAGAUGGGGAUGCGUUCCAUUAGAUAGUAGGCGGGGUAACGGCCCACCUAGUCUUCGAUGGAUAGGGGUUCUGAGAGGAAGGUCCCCCACAUUGGAACUGAGACACGGUCCAAACUCCUACGGGAGGCAGCAGUGAGGAAUAUUGGUCAAUGGACGAGAGUCUGAACCAGCCAAGUAGCGUGAAGGAUGAAGGUUCUAUGGAUUGUAAACUUCUUUUAUACGGGAAUAAACGAAUCCACGUGUGGAUUUUUGCAUGUACCGUAUGAAUAAGGAUCGGCUAACUCCGUGCCAGCAGCCGCGGUAAUACGGAGGAUCCGAGCGUUAUCCGGAUUUAUUGGGUUUAAAGGGAGCGUAGAUGGGUUGUUAAGUCAGUUGUGAAAGUUUGCGGCUCAACCGUAAAAUUGCAAUUGAUACUGGCAGUCUUGAGUACAGUUGAGGUAGGCGGAAUUCGUGGUGUAGCGGUGAAAUGCUUAGAUAUCACGAAGAACUCCGAUUGCGAAGGCAGCUUACUAACCUGUAACUGACAUUGAUGCUCGAAAGUGUGGGUAUCAAACAGGAUUAGAUACCCUGGUAGUCCACACGGUAAACGAUGAAUACUCGCUGUAGGCGAUAUACAGUCUGCGGCCAAGCGAAAGCAUUAAGUAUUCCACCUGGGGAGUACGCCGGCAACGGUGAAACUCAAAGGAAUUGACGGGGGCCCGCACAAGCGGAGGAACAUGUGGUUUAAUUCGAUGAUACGCGAGGAACCUUACCCGGGCUUAAAUUGCAACCGAAUAUGGCGGAAACGCUAUAGCUAGCAAUAGCGGUUGUGAAGGUGCUGCAUGGUUGUCGUCAGCUCGUGCCGUGAGGUGUCGGCUUAAGUGCCAUAACGAGCGCAACCCUUGCCGAUAGUUACUAACAGGUCAUGCUGAGGACUCUGUCGGGACUGCCAUCGUAAGAUGUGAGGAAGGUGGGGAUGACGUCAAAUCAGCACGGCCCUUACGUCCGGGGCUACACACGUGUUACAAUGGGGGGUACAGAGGGCUGCUACCACGCAAGUGGAUGCCAAUCCCAAAAACCUCUCUCAGUUCGGAUUGAAGUCUGCAACCCGACUUCAUGAAGCUGGAUUCGCUAGUAAUCGCGCAUCAGCCACGGCGCGGUGAAUACGUUCCCGGGCCUUGUACACACCGCCCGUCAAGCCAUGGGAGCCGGGGGUACCUGAAGUGCGUAACCGCAAGGAGCGCCCUAGGGUAAAACUGGUG
RNAcentral lists this ribosomal RNA (1425 nucleotides) under uncultured organism. RNAcentral describes it as "16S ribosomal RNA". It matches the Rfam family "Bacterial small subunit ribosomal RNA". The record is from RNAcentral.